Molecule: ribosomal RNA, 253 nt
Filed under: uncultured bacterium
Lineage: Bacteria
Description: partial 16S ribosomal RNA
Rfam family: Bacterial small subunit ribosomal RNA
Source: RNAcentral
UACGUAGGAUGCAAGCGAUGUCCGGAUUUAUUGGGUUUAAAGGGUGCGUGGGCGGCCUAUUAAGUUAGUGGUGAAAACGUUCGGCUUAACCGGAUACCCGCCAUUGAUACUGAUAGACUUGAGUGCGACAGAGGGUGUUGGAAUGUGUGGUGUAGCGGUGAAAUGCUUAGAUAUCACGCAGAACACCAAUUGCGAAGGCAGAUGCCUAUGUCGUAACUGACGCUGAGGCACGAAAGCGUGUGGAGCAAACAGG